This 253-nucleotide ribosomal RNA is filed under the name uncultured bacterium. RNAcentral's name for it is "partial 16S ribosomal RNA". It matches the Rfam family "Bacterial small subunit ribosomal RNA", at positions 524 to 776 of the family's 1533-position model. The record is from RNAcentral.
GACAGAGGGUGCAAUCGUUGUCCGGAAUUAUUGGGCGUAAAGAGCUUGUAGGCGGUCUGUCGCGUCUGCUGUGAAAAUCCGGGGCUCAACCCCGGACUUGCAGUGGGUACGGGCAGACUAGAGUGUGGUAGGGGAGACUGGAAUUCCUGGUGUAGCGGUGAAAUGCGCAGAUAUCAGGAGGAACACCGAUGGCGAAGGCAGGUCUCUGGGCCACUACUGACGCUGAGAAGCGAAAGCAUGGGCAGCGAACAGG